This 497-nucleotide ribosomal RNA is filed under the name uncultured bacterium. RNAcentral describes it as "partial 16S ribosomal RNA". It matches the Rfam family "Bacterial small subunit ribosomal RNA", at positions 28 to 507 of the family's 1533-position model. The record is from RNAcentral.
GAUGAACGCUGGCGGCGUGCCUAAUACAUGCAAGUCGAGCGAACAGACGAGGAGCUUGCUCCUCUGACGUUAGCGGCGGACGGGUGAGUAACACGUGGAUAACCUACCUAUAAGACUGGGAUAACUUCGGGAAACCGGAGCUAAUACCGGAUAAUAUAUUGAACCGCAUGGUUCAAUAGUGAAAGACGGUUUUGCUGUCACUUAUAGAUGGAUCCGCGCCGCAUUAGCUAGUUGGUAAGGUAACGGCUUACCAAGGCAACGAUGCGUAGCCGACCUGAGAGGGUGAUCGGCCACACUGGAACUGAGACACGGUCCAGACUCCUACGGGAGGCCGCAGUAGGGAAUCUUACGCAAUGGGCGAAAGCCUGACGGAGCAAAGCCGCGUGAGUGAUGAAGGUCUUCGGAUCGUAAAACUCUGUUAUUAGGGAAGAACAAAUGUGUAAGUAACUAUGCACGUCUUGACGGUACCUAAUCAGAAAGCCACGGCUAACUACGUG